RNAcentral lists this ribosomal RNA (424 nucleotides) under uncultured bacterium. Its description in RNAcentral is "bacterial SSU rRNA". It matches the Rfam family "Bacterial small subunit ribosomal RNA", at positions 355 to 793 of the family's 1533-position model. The record is from RNAcentral.
UGGGGAAUAUUGGGCAAUGGGCGCAAGCCUGACCCAGCAACGCCGCGUGAAGGAAGAAGGUUUUCGGAUUGUAAACUUCUGUCCUAAGUGACGAAGGAAGUGACGGUAGCUUAGGAGGAAGCCCCGGCUAACUACGUGCCAGCAGCCGCGGUAAUACGUAGGGGGCGAGCGUUGUCCGGAAUGACUGGGCGUAAAGGGCGUGUAGGCGGCUGAUUAAGUCUGAAGUGAAAGUCCUGUUUUCAAGAUGGGAAUUGCUUUGGAUACUGUAGGGCUUGAGUGCAGGAGAGGUUAUCGGAAUUCCCGGUGUAGCGGUGAAAUGCGUAGAGAUCGGGAGGAACACCAGUGGCGAAGGCGGGUAACUGGACUGCAACUGACGCUGAGGCGCGAAAGUGUGGGGAGCAAACAGGAUUAGAUACCCUGGUAU